RNAcentral lists this transfer RNA (72 nucleotides) under Promineifilum sp. (SeqCode). RNAcentral's name for it is "tRNA-Arg". It matches the Rfam family "tRNA". From Rfam's summary of the family: Transfer RNA (tRNA) molecules are approximately 80 nucleotides in length. The record is from RNAcentral. RNAcentral also lists the same sequence under 1 other name. Lineage: Bacteria; Bacillati; Chloroflexota; Ardenticatenia; Promineifilales (SeqCode); Promineifilaceae (SeqCode).
GCCCUCGUAACUCAGAGGAUAGAGUGCCGGCCUCCGAAGCCGGAUGCACAGGUUCGAGUCCUGUCGAGGGCA